Molecule: ribosomal RNA, 464 nt
Filed under: uncultured bacterium
Lineage: Bacteria
Description: partial 16S ribosomal RNA
Rfam family: Bacterial small subunit ribosomal RNA
Source: RNAcentral
GACGAACGCUGGCGGCGUGCUUAACACAUGCCAGUCGAACGGAAAGGCCUGCUUGCAGGGUACUCGAGUGGCGAACGGGUGAGUAACACGUGGGUGAUCUGCCCUGCACUUCGGGAUAAGCCUGGGAAACUGGGUCUAAUACCGGAUAGGAGCCAUUUUUAGUGUGAUGGUUGGAAAGUUUUUUCGGUGUAGGAUGAGCUCGCGGCCUAUCAGCUUGUUGGUGGGGUAAUGGCCUACCAAGGCGGCGACGGGUAGCCGGCCUGAGAGGGUGGACGGCCACAUUGGGACUGAGAUACGGCCCAGACUCCUACGGGAGGCAGCAGUGGGGAAUAUUGCACAAUGGGCGCAAGCCUGAUGCAGCGACGCCGCGUGGGGGAUGACGGCCUUCGGGUUGUAAACUCCUUUCGCUAGGGACGAAGCUUUUUGUGACGGUACCUAGAUAAGAAGCACCGGCUAACUACGUG